Mauremys mutica (yellowpond turtle) is the source of this 914-nucleotide long non-coding RNA. RefSeq lists it as uncharacterized. NCBI's taxonomy places the organism in Eukaryota, Metazoa, Chordata, Testudines, Geoemydidae. The transcript is spliced from 4 exons. The record is from RefSeq and is a predicted model, not a curated record.
UGGUAUUCUACUAUUGUUUAACAGCAAGAUUAAAACUGCAGUUAAUUGCAACUAUUUUUUAAAAUCUCACAAUUGUGGUGCCCUCAAUGGUUGAAUCUUUUUCAUUUCUAUAGGUAGGUAAUUUGAAUUGAUUCCCUUCUACUGGUUUAAUAAUACUUGUAUUUCUGUGAAGCAGGUGGAUUCUAAUCCCAUGAACCAGGAGCUAUGCUCCAAGGUGGAGGACCCUAGGUUGGGGUGGUGCAUAUCCCCUGCAUCCUGGGAGAGGAGAUGCAGGGAUGAUCCGAAGCUUCAACACUUGUUGGACACACAGGUGAAACAGAAUAAGGGAUACUUUUUGUUGCUGAAUGUGGCAAGUGGGUCUACCUCUGGAAGUCCCCAUCUUUGGAAUAUCCUGUAAAGAAUUUGAGAGUCAAACUCCCAUUUGGAGUCCUGGAAGAAGCGCCUGCUGAGCAUGUUGGCUGUGACAUUCUGGACUCCAGGAAGCUGGAGAUUCAAUUCCUGGAAGAGAGAAAGGGCCAUCUGGGUGGAAGUCAGUACUGUUUUGUAAGAUCAGCCCUUGAGUAAUCAGUCGUCAAGAUAUGGGAAGACUAAAAUCGCUUCUAAAUGAAGUAGUCUAUAUAUCCAGAGAUCUUGGCCCUGAACACCAUUAGUGUGUGCAGAGACUUAUCCGUGGUCAUGGACAAGAGCGUUCAACCAUCAAAUGGGAGGUCCUCAACAGUGUUCUGAACCUCUCUCAGGAACCCUGAGAGUUGGAGCCAUGAUGCCCUACACAUAAUAACCGUUGUGGAGAUGGAUCUGGUGGCAGUGUCCAAGACAUCCAAGGAUGCUUGAAGAGAGGUUCUGGCUAAUAACUGACUCUCCGCCAUGAUGGCUUGGAAUUAUUCCCUAUGCUCCUGUGGAAGAUGCUUAAUAAA